RNAcentral lists this ribosomal RNA (441 nucleotides) under uncultured bacterium. Its description in RNAcentral is "partial 16S ribosomal RNA". It matches the Rfam family "Bacterial small subunit ribosomal RNA", at positions 338 to 795 of the family's 1533-position model. The record is from RNAcentral.
CCUACGGGUGGCAGCAGUGGGGAAUAUUGCACAAUGGGCGAAAGCCUGAUGCAGCAACGCAGCGUGAAGGAAGACGGCUCUAGGAUUGUAAAACUCUGUUUUUAGUGAAGAAUAAUGACGCUCACUAAGGGGCCAGCCACGGCUAACUACGUGCCAGCAGCCGCGGUCAUACGUAGGGGCCAAGCGUUGUCCGGAAUUACUGGGGGUAAAGGGAGCGUAGGCGGGAAGCCAAGUCAGCUGUGAAAACUACGGGCUUAACCUGUAGACUGCAGUUGAAACUGGCUUUCUUGAGUGAAGUAGAGGUUGGCGGAAUUCGGAGUGUAGCGGUGAAAUGCGUAGAUAUUCGGAGGAACACCGGUGGCGAAGGCGGCCAACUGGGCUUUAACUGACGCUGAGGCUCGAAAGUGUGGGGAGCAAACAGGAUUAGAUACCCUUGUAGUC